UCCGGUGUUGCCUCAGCGAGGGGCGGUAACGUCCGGGUGUUGCCACGGCAACGGUAAACUAUCAUGGCGGUGGUGGGCGUGUCUCAUGGAGUGGGGCUUUCAGCGCCUCUUCCCAGUUACCGCCAAUCUUCAAUCUGAUGUGGAGCCCUGUCCUGGCUGCCUCCUACCUCAUAAUGAACAUUUGUUUGUGCUCGAUAUUUUUUGAUGAAUGUAUCAUUUGACUUGGUCAUGUGUCACUCAAUGCAAUGCGUCACACGUUGUUCAGCUUUUUGUUGCUAUGGGAACCUCACAGAAUGUACUUACACAAACCUGGAUGACAGAGCCUGACAUAUGAGGCUAUGUGCUAUGGCCUUUUGCUCCUAGGCUAGAAGCCUGUAGUUAAUGUGGCUGUACAGAAUACUGGAGCCAACUGUAACACAAUGCUAGGGUUGCUGGAAUCAGAUUGAGGUGGCUGGGAUAACACACAUGUGCCUGAACUUCCAAGGAAGCCUGAAGGUGUGACAAGCUGGCUACCAUCACUUAUUCUGCAGCCAUCAUCAUCCAGUGACACCUGUGGGGAAGGACCCAGGGACCUGCAGGAAGCAAACGAUCACCAAUCCCGGCAGAGGCUGAAGGUGGCAAGCGUGAGGAACACAUUCUGAGAAAGAGUAAACACAUCCAGAAAAGCUGCUCACGGAUGUGAGCGGGAGGCAUGUCUGGGCAUUGACUUAAGCAGCCAUUUCUGUAAUGAAGUGGUGCCAUUCUCUUAAGUAUGACGGGGUUUUGGAAAGCACUUUGCAAAGUUGGAAGCCAUUCCAGUGCUUCUGGUGUUCGUUUUCUUUUUUCCUUUUCCCAAAGCCAAGGUUUCCAGCUCAGAGGUGAUGCUGAAGGUCCACAGCGGGUGUCCCUUUCCUCCAUUUCCAGAGUCCAUGAAUAAACCUGGUGCAGACUUGUGUGGGGGGAUCCCUCACUGCUGCUGC
Cebus imitator (Panamanian white-faced capuchin) is the source of this 959-nucleotide long non-coding RNA. RefSeq lists it as uncharacterized. The record is from RefSeq and is a predicted model, not a curated record. The transcript has 3 exons. Lineage: Eukaryota; Metazoa; Chordata; Mammalia; Primates; Cebidae.